CAGUAGCCGCGGGAAUACGAAGGGUGCAAGCGUUAAUCGGAAUUACUGGGCGUAAAGCGUGCGUAGGCGGUUUGUUAAGUCUGUUGUGAAAUCCCCGGGCUCAACCUGGGAAUGGCAAUGGAUACUGGCAAGCUAGAGUGUGUCAGAGGAUGGUGGAAUUCCCGGUGUAGCGGUGAAAUGCGUAGAGAUCGGGAGGAACAUCAAUGGCGAAGGCGGCCAUCUGGGACAACACUGACGCUGAGGCACGAAAGCGUGGGGAGCAAACAGGAUUAGAUACCCGCGUAGUCCCUGUCUCUUAUAA
Molecule: ribosomal RNA, 301 nt
Filed under: uncultured bacterium
Lineage: Bacteria
Description: partial 16S ribosomal RNA
Rfam family: Bacterial small subunit ribosomal RNA
Source: RNAcentral